This 214-nucleotide long non-coding RNA is filed under the name Arabidopsis lyrata. Its description in RNAcentral is "long non-coding RNA (ALYR_LNC003198)". Lineage: Eukaryota; Viridiplantae; Streptophyta; Magnoliopsida; Brassicales; Brassicaceae. The record is from RNAcentral.
AAGAAAAUUCUCUCUUUAUUGAUAAUAGGCAAAAACGUGAGCUACAAUGGCUGCAAUGGACCUUAUUAAUAUGUCGACAGCCUUGACCUUCUAGGGUCUUGAAAAAGAGAAGAAAAGGCAACAAAUAAUUGAGAAAUAAAUGACAAAAUAAAUCUAGACUAAUUUCAACCAACCUGCAAAAGAAAAGGAAAUUUGACAUUUAAUUGAAAAGAUU